This 328-nucleotide unclassified non-coding RNA is filed under the name Hevea brasiliensis (rubber tree). The record is from RNAcentral. Lineage: Eukaryota; Viridiplantae; Streptophyta; Magnoliopsida; Malpighiales; Euphorbiaceae.
GGAAAAAUAAAGUUGCUAAAGGUGUUUGAUCUUGAAAAGCAAAUGAAAAUUUGUAUUCAAGCCCUCAAAAGAGACUCGAAUGCGAUAAAUUAUUCAACGGGUUCCCACCAAUCUGCUAAUGUAGCAACAAAGGAAGAUGUCGCUUUCAAGAUUAGGCCUUAAAGCAACGAACAAGAAAGGGAAAUCAAAGGAUAAGGCCUGAGGUUAGUGUCUUUAACAUAAAGGAAUGCUAUUGAUUCACGGAACUGGCUUUCUUUUAAUACGAGGAAUAUGUAAGAAGGAGAAGCUAGCCAAUGACUAAUAUAUAACGCUUAUCGGCAGAAACAUG